UGAGGAAUAUUGGGCAAUGCCCGCAAGGGUGACCCAGCAACGCCGCGUGGAGGAUGAAUGUCGUAAGAUUGUAAACUCCUGUUAGAGGGGAAGAAUAGUACCGGUUGGACCGGUAUAUGACUGUACCCUCAGAGAAAGCCCCGGCUAACUACGUGCCAGCAGCCGCGGUAAUACGUAGGGGGCAAGCGUUGUCCGGAUUUACUGGGUGUAAAGGGCGCGCAGGCGGGAUAAAAAGUCAGUGGUGAAAUCCUACAGCUUAACUGUAGAACUGCCUUUGAUACUUUUAUUCUUGAGUUCGGGAGAGAGAGACGGAAUUCCAGGUGUGGUGGUGAAAUACGUAGAUAUCUGGAAGAACACCAGUUGCGAAGGCGGUCUCUUGGUCCGACACUGACGCUGAGGCGCGGAAGCGUGGGGAGCAAACA
RNAcentral lists this ribosomal RNA (422 nucleotides) under uncultured bacterium. RNAcentral's name for it is "bacterial SSU rRNA". It matches the Rfam family "Bacterial small subunit ribosomal RNA", at positions 355 to 774 of the family's 1533-position model. The record is from RNAcentral.